GCGGCGUAGUGUAAAGGUUCGCACGACUCGCUUUGAACGAGUAAGAGCCCGUUCGAUUCGGGCCGCUGCUG
RNAcentral lists this transfer RNA (71 nucleotides) under Planctomycetaceae bacterium. RNAcentral describes it as "tRNA-Gln". It matches the Rfam family "tRNA". From Rfam's summary of the family: Transfer RNA (tRNA) molecules are approximately 80 nucleotides in length. Their secondary structure includes four short double-helical elements and three loops (D, anti-codon, and T loops). Further hydrogen bonds mediate the characteristic L-shaped molecular structure. tRNAs have two regions of fundamental functional importance: the anti-codon, which is responsible for specific mRNA codon recognition, and the 3' end, to which the tRNAs corresponding amino acid is attached (by aminoacyl-tRNA synthetases). tRNAs cope with the degeneracy of the genetic code in two manners: having more than one tRNA (with a specific anti-codon) for a particular amino acid; and 'wobble' base-pairing, i.e. permitting non-standard base-pairing at the 3rd anti-codon position. Lineage: Bacteria; Pseudomonadati; Planctomycetota; Planctomycetia; Planctomycetales; Planctomycetaceae. The record is from RNAcentral.